GGCUAACGCUGGCGGCGUGUCUUAGCCAUGCAAGUCGAGCGGACUUAUGGGGUAACUUAUAAGUCAGCGGCGGACGGCGGAGUAACACGUAGCUAACCUACCCUCUGGACGGGGAUAACCUACCGAAAGGUGGGCCAAUACCCGAUGUAGUCAUCCUGUAUAGGGGUGAUGAAAGGUGGGCUUCUGUUUACAAGCUCAUGCUGGAGGAGGGGGCUGCGGCCUAUCAGGUAGUUGGUAGGGUAAUAGCCUACCAAGCCGAUGACGGGUAGCCGGCCUGAGAGGGUGACCGGCCCGAGGGGCACUGAGAUACGGGUCCCACUCCUACGGGAGGCAGCAGGCUAGAAAUUUGGGCAAUGGGGGAAACCCUGACCCAGUGACGCCGCGUGCAGGAAGGAGCCCUUCGGGGUGUAAACUGCUGUCGUGUAGGGAGAAGGGUACUAAGGUGAACAAUCUUAGUACUUGACGGUACUACAGGAGGAAGCCCAGGCUAACCUCGUG
RNAcentral lists this ribosomal RNA (498 nucleotides) under uncultured bacterium. RNAcentral's name for it is "bacterial SSU rRNA". It matches the Rfam family "Bacterial small subunit ribosomal RNA", at positions 28 to 507 of the family's 1533-position model. The record is from RNAcentral.